UACGUAGGGGGCAAGCGUUGUCCGGAUUUAUUGGGCGUAAAGCGUUUGUAGGCGGCUUUCUAAGCCAGAGGUGAAAUCCUGGGGCUUAACCCCAGAAUUGCCAUUGGGACUGGAAAGCUAGAGAGUGUUAGAGGUAAGUGGAAUUCCUAGUGUAGGAGUGAAAUCCGUAGAGAUUAGGAGGAAUAUCGAUGGCGAAGGCAGCUUACUGGGACAUUUCUGACGCUGAGAAACGAAAGCGUGGGGAGCAAACAGG
Molecule: ribosomal RNA, 253 nt
Filed under: uncultured bacterium
Lineage: Bacteria
Description: partial 16S ribosomal RNA
Rfam family: Bacterial small subunit ribosomal RNA
Source: RNAcentral